This 481-nucleotide ribosomal RNA is filed under the name uncultured bacterium. RNAcentral describes it as "bacterial SSU rRNA". It matches the Rfam family "Bacterial small subunit ribosomal RNA", at positions 30 to 530 of the family's 1533-position model. The record is from RNAcentral.
AUUGAACGCUGGCGGCAUGCCUUACACAUGCAAGUCGAACGGCAGCGGACCUUCGGGUGCCGGCGAGUGGCGAACGGGUGAGUAAUAUAUCGGAACGUACCUUUCAGUGGGGGAUAACGUAGCGAAAGUUACGCUAAUACCGCAUAUUCCGUGAGCAGGAAAGCAGGGGAUCGCAAGACCUUGCGCUGAUUGAGCGGCCGAUAUCAGAUUAGCUAGUUGGUGAGGUAAAGGCUCACCAAGGCGACGAUCUGUAGCGGGUCUGAGAGGAUGAUCCGCCACACUGGAACUGAGACACGGUCCAGACUCCUACGGGAGGCAGCAGCUAAGAAUCUUGCGCAAUGGGCGAAAGCCUGACGCAGCAAUUCCGCGUGGAGGACGAAGGCCCUCGGGUCGUAAACUCCUUUUGCGAGGGAGAAGUUCUGACGGUACCUCGCGAAUAAGCCACGGCUAACUACGUGCCAGCAGCCGCGGUAAAGUCUAG